This 253-nucleotide ribosomal RNA is filed under the name uncultured bacterium. RNAcentral describes it as "partial 16S ribosomal RNA". It matches the Rfam family "Bacterial small subunit ribosomal RNA", at positions 524 to 776 of the family's 1533-position model. The record is from RNAcentral.
CACGUAGGGCGCAAGCGUUGUUCGGAUUCAUUGGGCGUAAGGGGUGCGUAGGCGGCGCGGUAAGUCGGGUGUGAAAUCUCGGGGCUUAACUCCGAAACUGCAUUCGAUACUGCCGUGCUUGAGGACUGGAGAGGAGACUGGAAUUUACGGUGUAGCGGUGAAAUGCGUAGAUAUCGUAAGGAAGACCAGUGGCGAAGGCGGGUCUCUGGACAGUUCCUGACGCUGAGGCACGAAGGUCAGGGGAGCAAACGGG